This 496-nucleotide ribosomal RNA is filed under the name uncultured bacterium. RNAcentral's name for it is "partial 16S ribosomal RNA". It matches the Rfam family "Bacterial small subunit ribosomal RNA", at positions 29 to 507 of the family's 1533-position model. The record is from RNAcentral.
AUGAACGCUGGCGGCGUGCCUAAUACAUGCAAGUCGAGCGAACGGACGAGAAGCUUGCUUCUCUAAUGUUAGCGGCGGACGGGUGAGUAACACGUGGAUAACCUACCUAUAAGACUGGGAUAACUUCGGGAAACCGGAGCUAAUACCGGAUGAUAUUUUGAACCGCAUGGUUCAAAAGUGAAAGACGGUCUUGCUGUCACUUAUAGAUGGAUCCGCGCUGCAUUAGCUAGUUGGUAAGGUAACGGCUUACCAAGGCAACGAUGCAUAGCCGACCUGAGAGGGUGAUCGGCCACACUGGAACUGAGACACGGUCCAGACUCCUACGGGAGGCAGCAGUAGGGAAUCUUCCGCAAUGGGCGAAAGCCUGACGGAGCAACGCCGCGUGAGUGAUGAAGGUCUUCGGAUCGUAAAACUCUGUUAUUAGGGAAGAACAUAUGUGUAAGUAACUGUGCACAUCUUGACGGUACCUAAUCAGAAAGCCACGGCUAACUACGUG